RNAcentral lists this ribosomal RNA (497 nucleotides) under uncultured bacterium. RNAcentral's name for it is "partial 16S ribosomal RNA". It matches the Rfam family "Bacterial small subunit ribosomal RNA", at positions 28 to 507 of the family's 1533-position model. The record is from RNAcentral.
GAUGAACGCUGGCGGCGUGCCUAAUACAUGCAAGUCGAGCGAACAGACGAGGAGCUUGCUCCUCUGACGUUAGCGGCGGACGGGUGAGUAACACGUGGAUAACCUACCUAUAAGACUGGGAUAACUUCGGGAAACCGGAGCUAAUACCGGAUAAUAUAUUGAACCGCAUGGUUCAAUAGUGAAAGACGGUUUUGCUGUCACUUAUAGAGGGAUCCGCGCCGCAUUAGCUAGUUGGUAAGGUAACGGCUUACCAAGGCAACGAUGCGUAGCCGACCUGAGAGGGUGAUCGGCCACACUGGAACUGAGACACGGUCCAGACUCCUACGGGAGGCAGCAGUCGGGAAUCUUCCGCAAUGGGCGAAAGCUUGACGGAGCAACGCCGCGUGAGUGAUGAAGGUCUUCGGAUCGUAAAACUCUGUUAUUGGGGAAGAACAGAUGUGUAAGUAACUAUGCACGUCUUGACGGUACCUAAUCAGAAAGCCACGGCUAACUACGUG